RNAcentral lists this long non-coding RNA (203 nucleotides) under Erythranthe guttata (spotted monkey flower). RNAcentral describes it as "long non-coding RNA (EGUT_LNC001039)". Lineage: Eukaryota; Viridiplantae; Streptophyta; Magnoliopsida; Lamiales; Phrymaceae. The record is from RNAcentral.
GGCCGUCCGGAUUUCAGAACUAAUUCUCGCACGGCCGUCCGGGUCAACGAAGUGGCGCAGUGAAGGAAUUUUAAUUACACAAGGAAACCGCCCUUUUAUAUUUUUGCACCCUAUUGAAAGGCCAAAUAGCACACAAUUAGGAAUCUAUCUUUUCUACACGCAAUCUAGGAGCAAGGGAACGGAGCAACGAAGACGAAGACUUG